RNAcentral lists this ribosomal RNA (526 nucleotides) under uncultured eukaryote. RNAcentral describes it as "SSU rRNA". It matches the Rfam family "Eukaryotic small subunit ribosomal RNA", at positions 21 to 550 of the family's 1831-position model. The record is from RNAcentral.
UAGUCAUAUGCUUGUCUCAAAGAUUAAGCCAUGCAUGUCUAAGUAUAAGCAAUCUAUACGGUGAAACUGCGAAUGGCUCAUUAAAUCAGUUAUCGUUUAUUUGAUAGUACCUUACUACUUGGAUAACCGUGGUAAUUCUAGAGCUAAUACAUGCUAAAAACCCCGACUUCGGAAGGGGUGUAUUUAUUAGAUAAAAAACCAAUGCCCUUCGGGGCUCCUUGGUGAUUCAUAAUAACUUAACGAAUCGCAUGGCCUUGUGUCGGCGAUGGUUCAUUCAAAUUUCUGCCCUAUCAACUUUCGAUUGUAAGGUAGUGGCUUACAAUGGUUUCAACGGGUAACGGGGAAUUAGGGUUCUAUUCCGGAGAGGGAGCCUGAGAAACGGCUACCACAUCCAAGGAAGGCAGCAGGCGCGCAAAUUACCCAAUCCCGACACGGGGAGGUAGUGACAAUAAAUACUGAUACAGGGCUCUUUUGGGUCUUGUAAUUGGAAUGAGUACAAUUUAAAUCCCUUAACGAGGAACAAAUG